Long non-coding RNA from Lepisosteus oculatus (spotted gar), 1993 nucleotides. RefSeq lists it as uncharacterized. The record is from RefSeq and is a predicted model, not a curated record. Lineage: Eukaryota; Metazoa; Chordata; Actinopteri; Semionotiformes; Lepisosteidae.
GGGUAUCAUGUUUGUACCUUUUAAGAUGUGAUUAGCUUUAUUCUGGAAAUUCAAGGGGUCUUUUGUUAUUUAUCCACUCUGUCAUUCUGUUUUUGAUACCUCGAAAUACCUCUGCAUUAAAUGCUCAACGAUUUUGUAUUUCUGACUGAUGGCGUUAAGUUACUGAUGUGAAAUGUUUGUGGGUGCAUGAAAUUUAAAAAAUGUAAACAAUACUAAAUGAAUACCGGUAUACUGUAUUAAUCUGCGCAAAGUGUGUAAUAGCUAGCUGCCUAAACAGAUGGUGACCGCUUCAGAGUGCAACAAUAAUCUAUCCGGUAGCAGAAGAGUUGCUCUCUCGUUUAUUGCACUGCAAAGCUAUAAUGUUUUGUAGGAGCUGAUGUGUGGUGAGCGUACUGGAGCACUAUGGCCGCCGUCGCAUCAUCCAGUUGAGUGCGGCACGUAGUGGUGGAGGGGGGUCCCUGUUACCCGUAAAGUCAUUUGAGUGGAGUUUGCAGAAUAGUGCUAUACUUCCAGUCACAGGAGUUAACGGUCUCAGAAAGUGGACAGUCAAUCAGAGGCUUCCAGUUAGGCAGCAAAUUUAACUUUCCAGUCUGCAAACAAAACAUCAGACAUGGAUUUUCCAGUGAGCUGGAUUCUAACCUGGACAAUGGGAUCAAGGCAGGAUACUCCAGGGGUACUCUGACGUACACAGUGAACACCUCUGAAAUGCCAAUUUACAAAAACAGGUGUGAGAGGGAACCAGAGCACCUGGAGAAAACAUAAAAAGACCAAGCUGAAAUCCAACCCAUGACCUAAGAAUUGUAAGACAGCAGUGCUAACUGCCACACCACUAUGCACAAUUGAUUUAUAUAUACUGUAUGUCCACCCUUUUUGGAAUUGCCAAUUGUUAUAAUAAUUUAACCUUCUGGUAACAUUUCUUGAUCUACACCUGCACAGGGAAAAUGAGGGUCUGAUGCACUGCUUCUAUACAGUAUGUGCUAUUCAACUUUGAACAAGGUACAAGCUCUUCAUGAGAGAGUUAGCACCAACCGAAGGAGCAGUGCAUUUCUCACCGAUGUCACUGGAAGGCUGCAAUUGUACCACAAAACAAGAUAGUGCUGUUAUACCAAGAUUACCCUUGCUUAUCCAUGCCCAGCCUACACAAGCAAUAUUCCGCCAGUAUGCUGUUGCUUGGGAAUCGCAGUCAGCUAAAAAUGUGUGGUUUAGAGACAUAAUACAGACAAAUACAUGCUAUCUCUGUUGUAAUGAAAAAUUGAAUACAGUUAUUAUCAUAAACAACAAAUAUGUUGUGUGAAAGUAAACUAAUCUGAAAUGCACCGAUAAUUAUAAUAAUAAAAGGAGACAAAGCCUAAAAUAUCCCUUAAGUGAAAUUACUGCACUUUUUGGGUCCUAGUUUUGUAAGAUUAGAAAAUGUUAAAGGUUGGUAAAAGUUGGCAAGAGACAAAGACCAAAGAAAUCACGAACUUAAAGGGUCUGAAACCGUUUCUAUUCUGACACUGUGCAAUAUAUUAAUAAAUAUAAUAUCCUCUACUCACUUCCAAGAAUCGGUCUUUAAAUUGCAACUGUAAUCUUUGAAUUUGUAUUUUUUUCCUAUUUUGUUUUGUAAAUUGACAUAAAUCUGGAAAAAAAAUGCCAAAGACAAAAGCAUAGAAAGUGGAAAGUGUUACUCUGUUUAUCUCUCUGCUUAAGAAGUUCCAGUAUGUACAGCUUCCAAUCAGGAAAGCAGGGGCUGGAGUUAAAUCUAUCAACCCUGCCUGUUACAGCUUAUAAACCUAGGACUUGAUGUUAGUGGUAGUGACAAGUUUCUGGCCAAAAAUAAUAAUAUUCUUUUGUUAAAUGUUUAUGAUUAGCAGUGGAUGUCAUCUGGACCUAGCGAUUUUGAUGUCAUCUGGACCUUUGUCUAUAUUAACAAUAAAAAUCGAGUUUAAUAGAAUUUAUCCUCACUGUCAGUUCUUAAUAUACCAUUAUUUUGGGGGCAGUUUUACAUUUGUAG